RNAcentral lists this ribosomal RNA (250 nucleotides) under uncultured bacterium. RNAcentral's name for it is "partial 16S ribosomal RNA". It matches the Rfam family "Bacterial small subunit ribosomal RNA", at positions 100 to 334 of the family's 1533-position model. The record is from RNAcentral.
CCCGGCACGGGUGGAGUAAACAACGUAUGCAAUACCACCUCGUAACGAAGGGGGUAAACCCGGGAACGGAAAGGACUAAUACCCACUAAUAUGGGCGGCCCGCAUGGAGAGCCAUUAAAGAGAGCAAUUUUGGUUUACAGACGAGCAUGCGCUCCAUUAGCCAGUUGGCGGGGUAACGGCCCACCAAAGCGACGAUGGAUAGGGGUUCUGAGAGGAAGGUCCCCCACAUUGGAACUGAGACACGGUCCAA